ACGCACGUGUGAAACUUGAAGGAAUUGACGGAAGGGCACCACAAGAACGCGUGGAGCAUGUGGCUUAAUUUGACCCAACGCGGGAAAUCUUACCGGGUCCGGACACACUGAGGAUUGACAGGCAAUAUUAAUACAUAUACAAAAUUAUUUAUUUAGUUUUGUUUUAUGUAUUAUGUUAAAUAUGCUAGUCCUUUCAUGAUUAUGUGAUAGGUGGUGCAUGGCCGUUCUUAGUUCGUGGAGUGAUCUGUCUGCUUAAUUGCGUUUCACUAAGGGCUUAUAAAUUUACGUGCGUUGUGAGUACUUUGACCCCUACAUUGAAAUAUAUGUAGUGCGUGUCUCAGUUUGCUUCACUCGCACAAUUAAGUCCUGAAAGCAACGAACGUGACCG
RNAcentral lists this ribosomal RNA (388 nucleotides) under Foraminifera environmental sample. RNAcentral describes it as "SSU rRNA". It matches the Rfam family "Eukaryotic small subunit ribosomal RNA", at positions 1129 to 1418 of the family's 1831-position model. The record is from RNAcentral. Lineage: Eukaryota; Foraminifera.